Molecule: signal recognition particle RNA, 298 nt
Filed under: Cebus imitator (Panamanian white-faced capuchin)
Lineage: Eukaryota; Metazoa; Chordata; Mammalia; Primates; Cebidae
Description: Metazoan signal recognition particle RNA (ENSCCAG00000005795.1)
Rfam family: Metazoan signal recognition particle RNA
About the family: The signal recognition particle (SRP) is a universally conserved ribonucleoprotein. It is involved in the co-translational targeting of proteins to membranes.
Source: RNAcentral
GCAGGGUGUGGUGGCGCAUGCCUGUAGUCUCAGCUACACGGGAGGCUGAGGUGGGAUGAUUGCUUGAGCCCAGGAGUUCUGGGCUGUAGUGCGCUAUGCCGAUCGGUGUCUGCACUAAGCUUGGCAUCAAUAUGGUGACCUCCCAGGAGCAGAGAACCACCAGGUUGCCUAAGGAGGGGUGAACCGGCCCAGGUUGGAAAUGGAGCAAGUCAAAACUCCUGUGCUGAUCAGUAGUGGGAUCGCACCUGUCGAUAGCCACUGCACUCCAGCCUGCGCAACAUAGCAAGACCCCGUCUCU